RNAcentral lists this transfer-messenger RNA (352 nucleotides) under Bdellovibrionales bacterium. It matches the Rfam family "transfer-messenger RNA". From Rfam's summary of the family: Bacterial tmRNA, also known as 10Sa RNA or SsrA, is named for its dual tRNA and mRNA-like properties. Its role is to liberate the mRNA from a stalled ribosome. Lineage: Bacteria; Pseudomonadati; Bdellovibrionota; Bdellovibrionia; Bdellovibrionales. The record is from RNAcentral.
GGGGGCGACAUGGCUUCGACGUGGGUAGUGAAGCUUAAGGAGCAUGCCGGGGCGCUCGUGGACCUCGUUAAAAACGAGCAACCUAUAGUUGCUAACGACAACUAUGCAUUUGCAGCUUAAUUAAGCUGCACGUCGACCAGGUAGUUGGUAACGCUACCUGGAAGGUGUAACUGUAGUUACCUCGGUGAUCGGUUGGUUUCUCCAGGGCCACUCACUUAAACAAGCUGGGGGAGGGACCGUAGAUAUUUUGUCGGUAGAAGCUCUGUGGUUCCUCUAAAAAUAUCGACUAAGCAUGUAGCGCCUUAAUGUGGAACACUUGCGGACGUGGGUUCAAUUCCCACCGCCUCCACCA